UAAAUUCUGUUCAGUAAUAAGAAAGUUGAUAUUUUAUAAACUUCAGUAAUUUAUGUUUUUAUCCCAAAAACCACUAUAAUGGGCCUCAAAUUGUCAAUUUAAAUUCGCGCCAAAGUAGUUAGAUUCCCCGGCUAUAUCGUGAAUCCCGUGAAAAUAGAAAUAGUAAGAGUCCACGGCUUAGCCGUGAAUCCCAUAAAAUUUAGUAUUUGGCGGGACAUUACCCUUUAAAUAGACUGGACUAGAUAUGCCUUGCGCACACCACCUUACGACUUUAUAGACGAAUCUAUGUCUGAAUUAUUUUCUUGCUAGAAAUUUAUGCUCGAUCGAGCUUCUUCCGCCAGACGAUUUUACCUGGUGAUGUCAUAACCCGGAAGUACAAUGCCCGAGGUUCACUUGUCUUCACUCGCCUGGAUGUGAUAUUCCCAGCGCAGAGCUUUCGUCCCAUGGUUGUGCCGUAAAACGCAAAGACGAUGAUUUUUGUUAUCCUCUGAAGUCAGCUCAGGGAUGCAAUCACCUACCACCAUAGGGAGCCAACACGGAAUCAACGUAUUCACGGUUUAAAGGGACUGUAUUUUGAAUUUAGAAGCUACGUUUUGUUUGUGCUACUUAAAGUUCACAAUUACAUUAAAGACCUGUGUCACGUCAGAUUAGAAUGGACUAUAAGAA
Mercenaria mercenaria is the source of this 666-nucleotide long non-coding RNA. RefSeq lists it as uncharacterized. The record is from RefSeq and is a predicted model, not a curated record. The transcript has 2 exons. NCBI's taxonomy places the organism in Eukaryota, Metazoa, Mollusca, Bivalvia, Venerida, Veneridae.